UGGAUGAUUCGAUUUCUAUCGCAGACCAAUGACGACUUAUUGACAACCUGCUUCACUCUAUGAC
This 64-nucleotide small nucleolar RNA is filed under the name Euglena gracilis. RNAcentral describes it as "Eg-m145.1 box C/D methylation-guide". Lineage: Eukaryota; Euglenozoa; Euglenophyceae; Euglenales; Euglenaceae. The record is from RNAcentral.